RNAcentral lists this transfer RNA (83 nucleotides) under Parachlamydiaceae bacterium. RNAcentral's name for it is "tRNA-Leu". It matches the Rfam family "tRNA". Rfam says of the family: Transfer RNA (tRNA) molecules are approximately 80 nucleotides in length. Their secondary structure includes four short double-helical elements and three loops (D, anti-codon, and T loops). Further hydrogen bonds mediate the characteristic L-shaped molecular structure. tRNAs have two regions of fundamental functional importance: the anti-codon, which is responsible for specific mRNA codon recognition, and the 3' end, to which the tRNAs corresponding amino acid is attached (by aminoacyl-tRNA synthetases). tRNAs cope with the degeneracy of the genetic code in two manners: having more than one tRNA (with a specific anti-codon) for a particular amino acid; and 'wobble' base-pairing, i.e. permitting non-standard base-pairing at the 3rd anti-codon position. The record is from RNAcentral. Lineage: Bacteria; Pseudomonadati; Chlamydiota; Chlamydiia; Parachlamydiales; Parachlamydiaceae.
GCGAAAGUGGCGGAAUGGUAUACGCGCUACCUUGAGGUGGUAGUGGGAGAAAUCCCGUAGGGGUUCAAGUCCCCUCUUUCGCA